GGAUGAACGCUGGCGGCGUGCCUAAUACAUGCAAGUCGAGCGAACAGCUAAGGCGCUUGCUCCUUUGACGUUAGCGGCGGACGGGUGAGUAACACGUGGGUAACCUACCUAUAAGACUGGAAUAACUCCGGGAAACCGGGGCUAAUGCCGGAUAACAUUUAGAACCGCAUGGUUCUAAAGUGAAAGAUGGUUUUGCUAUCACUUAUAGAUGGACCCGCGCCGUAUUAGCUAGUUGGUAAGGUAACGGCUUACCAAGGCAACGAUACGUAGCCGACCUGAGAGGGUGAUCGGCCACACUGGAACUGAGACACGGUCCAGACUCCUACGGGAGGCAGCAGUAGGGAAUCUUCCGCAAUGGGCGAAAGCCUGACGGAGCAACGCCGCGUGAGUGAUGAAGGGCUGCGGAUCGUAAAACUCUGUUAUUAGGGAAGAACAAAUGUGUAAGUAACUGUGCACGUCUUGACGGUACCUAAGCAGAAAGCCACGGCUAACUACGU
Molecule: ribosomal RNA, 497 nt
Filed under: uncultured bacterium
Lineage: Bacteria
Description: partial 16S ribosomal RNA
Rfam family: Bacterial small subunit ribosomal RNA
Source: RNAcentral